GAUGAACGCUGGCGGCGUGCCUAAUACAUGCAAGUCGAGCGAACAGACGAGGAGGUUGGUCCUCUGACGGUAGCGGCGGACGGGUGAGUAACAUGUGUAUCACCUACUUAGAAGACUGGGAUAACUACGGGAAACCGGAGCUAAUACCGGAUAAGAUAUUGAACCGCAUGGUUCAAUAGUGAAAGACGGUGUUGCGGUCGCUGAUAGAUGCAGCUGCGCGGCAUUAGCUAGUUGGUAAGGUAACGGCCUACCAAGGCAACGAUGCGUAGCCGACCUGAGAGAGUGAUCGGCCGCACUAGAGGGUGGACGCGUUCCAGACUCCUACGGGAGGCAGCAGUAGGGAAUCUUCCGCACUGGUCGAAAGCCUGACGGAGCGACGCCGCGUGAGUGAUGAAAGUCUUCGGUGCGUAAAGCUCUCUUAUUAGGGAAGAACAACUGUCUAAGUACCCAUGGCCGUCUUGACGGUACCUAAUCAGAAAGCCACGGCUAACUACGUG
Molecule: ribosomal RNA, 497 nt
Filed under: uncultured bacterium
Lineage: Bacteria
Description: partial 16S ribosomal RNA
Rfam family: Bacterial small subunit ribosomal RNA
Source: RNAcentral